Molecule: ribosomal RNA, 434 nt
Filed under: uncultured bacterium
Lineage: Bacteria
Description: bacterial SSU rRNA
Rfam family: Bacterial small subunit ribosomal RNA
Source: RNAcentral
UGAGGAAUAUUGGUCAAUGGGCGGGAGCCUGAACCAGCCAAGCCGCGUGAGGGAGGAAGGCCCUAUGGGUCGUAAACCUCUUUUGUCAGGGAACAAAAGCGAGUAUGUAUACUAGUCUGAGUGUACCUGAAGAAAAAGCAUCGGCUAACUCCGUGCCAGCAGCCGCGGUAAUACGGAGGAUGCGAGCGUUAUCCGGAUUUAUUGGGUUUAAAGGGUGCGUAGGCGGCGGUGCAAGUCAGCGGUAAAAGCCCGGGGCUCAACCCCGGCGAGCCGUUGAAACUGCAGUGCUAGAGAAGGCGAGAGGUACGCGGAAUGCGCAGUGUAGCGGUGAAAUGCUUAGAUAUUGCGCAGAACUCCGAUUGCGAAGGCAGCGCACUGGCGCCUGACUGACGCUGAGGCACGAAAGCGUGGGGAUCGAACAGGAUUAGAUACCC